Molecule: ribosomal RNA, 329 nt
Filed under: uncultured eukaryote
Lineage: Eukaryota
Description: partial 18S ribosomal RNA
Rfam family: Eukaryotic small subunit ribosomal RNA
Source: RNAcentral
CCCUUAGAUGUUCUGGGCCGCACGCGCGCUACACUGAUGCAUUCAACGAGUUUCUUCCUGGUCCGAGAGGAAUGGGUAACCUUUUGAAAGUGCAUCGUGAUAGGGAUAGACUAUUGCAAUUAUUGGUCUUCAACGAGGAAUUCCUAGUAGACGUAGUUCAUCAGACUGCAUCGAUUACGUCCCUGCCCUUUGUGCACACCGCCCGUCGCUCCUACCGAUUGAACGUUCCGAUGAAUACCAUGGAUUGAGAGUCUGAAUGGGUUCGCCUAUUUCUGCUUCUCGAGAAGUGGAGUAAAUCUUAGCGUUUAGAGGAAGGAGAAGUCGUAACA